This 254-nucleotide ribosomal RNA is filed under the name uncultured bacterium. RNAcentral describes it as "partial 16S ribosomal RNA". It matches the Rfam family "Bacterial small subunit ribosomal RNA", at positions 524 to 776 of the family's 1533-position model. The record is from RNAcentral.
UACGAAGGGGGCUAGCGUUGCUCGGAAUCACUGGGCGUAAAGGGCGCGUAGGCGGCCGUUCAAGUCGGGGGUGAAAGCCUGUGGCUCAACCACAGAAUGGCCCUCGAUACUGGAUGGCUCGGAGCACGGAAGAGGUUGGUGGAACUGCGAGUGUAGAGGUGAAAUUCGUAGAUAUUCGCAAGAACACCAGUGGCGAAGGCGGCCAACUGGUCCGGUUCUGACGCUGAGGCGCGAAAGCGUGGGGAGCAAACAGG